RNAcentral lists this ribosomal RNA (460 nucleotides) under uncultured bacterium. RNAcentral's name for it is "partial 16S ribosomal RNA". It matches the Rfam family "Bacterial small subunit ribosomal RNA", at positions 338 to 795 of the family's 1533-position model. The record is from RNAcentral.
CCUACGGGCGGCUGCAGUGAGGAAUAUUGGUCAAUGGGCGCGAGCCUGAACCAGCCAAGUCGCGUGAGGGAUGACGGCCCUACGGGUUGUAAACUUCUUUUGUCAGGGAGUAAAAUACGCCACGCGUGCCUUUCUGUGAGUACCCUAAGAAUAAGCAUCGGCUAACUCCGUGCCAGCAGCCGCGGUAAUACGGAGGAUGCGAGCGUUAUCCGGAUUUCUUGGGUUUAAAGGGUGCGUAGGUGGGUUGAUAAGUCAGUUGUGAAAUGUCGGGGCUCAACCGUGGAACUGCCACUAAUACUGGUGGUCUUGAGAGUAGAUGCGGUAGGCGGAAUGUAUGGUGUAGCGGUGAAAUGCUUAGAGAUCAUACAGAACACCGAUUGCGAAGGCAGCUUACCAAUCUACAACUGACAUUGAGGCACGAAAGCGUGGGUAGCAAACAGGAUUAGAUACCCGGGUAGUC